This 828-nucleotide ribosomal RNA is filed under the name uncultured bacterium. RNAcentral's name for it is "bacterial SSU rRNA". It matches the Rfam family "Bacterial small subunit ribosomal RNA", at positions 26 to 898 of the family's 1533-position model. The record is from RNAcentral.
AGAACGAACGCUGGCGGCAGGCUUAACACAUGCAAGUCGAACGCUGUAGCAAUACAGAGUGGCAGACGGGUGAGUAACGCGUGGGAACGUGCCCUUCGGUUCGGAAUAACUCAGGGAAACUACAGCUAAUACCGCAUGAUGACCGAGGUCUAAAGGCGCAAGUCGCCUGGGGAGGAGCCUGCGUACGAUUAGCUAGUUGGUGGGGUAAAGGCCUACCAAGGCGACGAUCGUUAGCUGGUCUGAGAGGAUGACCAGCCACAUUGGGACUGAGACACGGCCCAAACUCCUACGGGAGGCAGCAGUGGGGAAUAUUGGACAAUGGGCGAAAGCCUGAUCCAGCAAUGCCGCGUGUGUGAAGAAGGUCUUCGGAUUGUAAAGCACUUUCGACGGGGACGAUGAUGACGGUACCCGUAGAAGAAGCCCCGGCUAACUUCGUGCCAGCAGCCGCGGUAAUACGAAGGGGGCUAGCGUUGCUCGGAAUGACUGGGCGUAAAGGGCGCGUAGGCGGAUGGCACAGUCAGAUGUGAAAUUCCCGGGCUUAACCUGGGGGCUGCAUUUGAUACGUGUUGUCUAGAGUGAGGAAGAGGGUCGUGGAAUUCCCAGUGUAGAGGUGAAAUUCGUAGAUAUUGGGAAGAACACCGGUGGCGAAGGCGGCGACCUGGUCCUUUACUGACGCUGAGGCGCGAAAGCGUGGGGAGCAAACAGGAUUAGAUACCCUGGUAGUCCACGCUGUAAACGAUGUGUGCUGGAUGUUGGGCGACCUAGUCGCUCAGUGUCGUAGCUAACGCGAUAAGCACACCGCCUGGGGAGUACGGCCGCAAGGUUGAA